AUUGUUCUCUUAUUAAAAUAUAUGCAAGAUUUUAUUGGAGGCUAUUUUUCUAAAAAAAUGUUAGUGCUAAUAAGCUUAGGUUAAUAAACAAAUUUUCCUCACUUGGUAACUUCUGCCGUGAAAUAUCAUAUCUCCAUGCAUUUUUAAAUAUACAACUAUUGGAACAAGCUAAUUAAUUUAUUUUUAAACUAAUUAGUACUAAACAUUAUAUAUUUAAAACAUAUGUGGUAUUUUCAUUCUGUCCAACAAUACAAUUCAAUGACAAAAUUGCAUCCACUAACACUAACACUAUCAGUGAAAGUCACAGGACAAAGACUCCACGGAUAACAACACUUUUUUUUAUAUAUUUUUGGAUAAAAAUAGAGCUAUUGUUUGUCCUAAUUUUCUAUUUUUAUUUUGAAGCCUCAUGCAUUCAUUAAACACUUGCUCUAGUUUAUUUGUUCUAAUUGCUUCAACUUUUCGAAUAAUUCACGUAAAAAUUCGAGAUAGAAUCAAGUAAGUCUCACUCGCCCAUUAGACCAUCUCAACCCCCAACCACCCUAUCCCUUCA
RNAcentral lists this long non-coding RNA (550 nucleotides) under Setaria viridis. RNAcentral's name for it is "long non-coding RNA (SVIR_LNC007490)". The record is from RNAcentral. Lineage: Eukaryota; Viridiplantae; Streptophyta; Magnoliopsida; Poales; Poaceae.